GGGUUGUGAGGUUAAGCGACUAAGCGUACACGGUGGAUGCCCUGGCAGUCAGAGGCGAUGAAGGACGUGCUAAUCUGCGAAAAGCGUCGGUAAGGUGAUAUGAACCGUUAUAACCGGCGAUGUCCGAAUGGGGAAACCCAGUGUGAUUCGUCACACUAUCGUUAACUGAAUACAUAGGUUAACGAGGCGAACCGGGGGAACUGAAACAUCUAAGUACCCCGAGGAAAAGAAAUCAACCGAGAUUCCCCCAGUAGCGGCGAGCGAACGGGGAGCAGCCCAGAGUCUGAAUCAGCUUGU
Molecule: ribosomal RNA, 297 nt
Filed under: Klebsiella quasipneumoniae subsp. similipneumoniae
Lineage: Bacteria; Pseudomonadati; Pseudomonadota; Gammaproteobacteria; Enterobacterales; Enterobacteriaceae
Description: partial 23S ribosomal RNA
Rfam family: Bacterial large subunit ribosomal RNA
Source: RNAcentral